GGGAUAUAGCUCAAUUGGUAGAGCGCUUGCAUGGCAUGCAAGAGGUCAGGGGUUCAAUUCCCCUUAUCUCC
Molecule: transfer RNA, 71 nt
Filed under: uncultured Treponema sp.
Lineage: Bacteria; Pseudomonadati; Spirochaetota; Spirochaetia; Treponematales; Treponemataceae
Rfam family: tRNA
About the family: Transfer RNA (tRNA) molecules are approximately 80 nucleotides in length. Their secondary structure includes four short double-helical elements and three loops (D, anti-codon, and T loops).
Source: RNAcentral